This 232-nucleotide ribosomal RNA is filed under the name uncultured bacterium. Its description in RNAcentral is "partial 16S ribosomal RNA". It matches the Rfam family "Bacterial small subunit ribosomal RNA", at positions 99 to 334 of the family's 1533-position model. The record is from RNAcentral.
CGAACGGGUGAGUAAUACAUCGGAACGUGCCCAGUAGUGGGGGAUAACCCGGCGAAAGCCGGACUAAUACCGCAUACGACCUACGGGUGAAAGCAGGGGAUCGUAAGACCUUGCGCUAUCGGAGCGGCCGAUGUCAGAUUAGCUUGUUGGUGGGGUAAAAGCCCACCAAGGCGACGAUCUGUAGCUGGUCUGAGAGGACGACCAGCCACACUGGGACUGAGACACGGCCCAG